AAUAGGAGAAUAACAAAUUAAAUUUUUCCUCUCGAUUUUUAGCUUUUUUUCUUCUGAAAAAAAUUCAAAUCCAAUUGAAAAUGCUAAAAAUCAAGAGGAAAAACUUAUUUGUCAUUAUCUUAUU
Molecule: microRNA precursor, 124 nt
Filed under: Gossypium arboreum
Lineage: Eukaryota; Viridiplantae; Streptophyta; Magnoliopsida; Malvales; Malvaceae
Description: MIR7504 microRNA precursor family
Rfam family: MIR7504 microRNA precursor family
Source: Rfam by way of RNAcentral